AAACAUGAUAGGGGAGGUGAGAAAAGAAAAAGAAAAGAAUGAAAAAGAGAGAGAUAACAAAAAAAUAAGAGAAAAAGGAAAAAAGCUUAGAGAAAGACUAAAAUAAUCAAUCAUACUGCAUUAGCAUAUGGCAUAUGUCAUGCAUACCCAACCACCCAUAUACCCAUCUACCAUAUAACAUUUUGAUUCCCAGCAGCUGCCCUGCAC
This 207-nucleotide long non-coding RNA is filed under the name Lathyrus oleraceus (garden pea). Its description in RNAcentral is "Pisum sativum (pea) long non-coding RNA (PSAT_LNC023759)". The record is from RNAcentral. Lineage: Eukaryota; Viridiplantae; Streptophyta; Magnoliopsida; Fabales; Fabaceae.